UUGACCUCGGAUCAGGUAGGGAUACCCGCUGAACUUAAGCAUAUCAAUAAGCGGAGGAAAAGAAACCAACAGGGAUUGCCUCAGUAACGGCGAGUGAAGCGGCAACAGCUCAAAUUUGAAAUCUGGCCUCCUCGGGGUCCGAGUUGUAAUUUGUAGAGGGUGUUUCGGGCGCGAUGCCGGUCUAAGUUUCUUGGAACAGGACGUCUGUAGAGGGUGAGA
RNAcentral lists this ribosomal RNA (219 nucleotides) under Sticta latifrons. RNAcentral describes it as "partial 26S ribosomal RNA". It matches the Rfam family "Eukaryotic large subunit ribosomal RNA", at positions 1 to 217 of the family's 3401-position model. Lineage: Eukaryota; Fungi; Ascomycota; Lecanoromycetes; Peltigerales; Lobariaceae. The record is from RNAcentral.